AUGGGCAGGGGUUGGAGUUUAUACGAUUGGAGGGAAGAGAACAGUGAAUGGGUACACAAGUGGACAAAUGAAGCGCUAGCAGAUAUAGUGCGUGAACUUAGGCCGUACGAUGGAAGUACAGAUCAAGCAUACAAGCAGUGGUACUGCAUGAACACACGUGCUAGCCUGGCCAGUCAGCCAGCUACUAUACCAACACAUCUCACACAAGAGGAGCAGGCGCGGAGACAUGUUGAGCUGCAUGCAGCUUACUAUCGUGACCACCUGGUAAUCACUUGUAACUUUUUUAGGUCCAUCAUUUCAUAA
This 303-nucleotide ribosomal RNA is filed under the name Triticum aestivum (bread wheat). RNAcentral describes it as "partial small subunit ribosomal RNA". The record is from RNAcentral. Lineage: Eukaryota; Viridiplantae; Streptophyta; Magnoliopsida; Poales; Poaceae.